Molecule: ribosomal RNA, 460 nt
Filed under: uncultured bacterium
Lineage: Bacteria
Description: partial 16S ribosomal RNA
Rfam family: Bacterial small subunit ribosomal RNA
Source: RNAcentral
CCUACGGGAGGCAGCAGUGAGGAAUAUUGGUCAAUGGGCGUAAGCCUGAACCAGCCAAGUCGCGUGAGGGAUGAAGGUUCUAUGGAUCGUAAACCUCUUUUAUAAGGGAAUAAAGUGCGGGACGUGUCCCGUUUUGUAUGUACCUUAUGAAUAAGGAUCGGCUAACUCCGUUCCAGCAGCCGCGGUAAUACGGAGGAUCCGAGCGUUAUCCGGAUUUAUUUGGUUUAAAGGGUACGUAGGCGGACUUUUAAGUGAGCGGUGAAAGUUGGUGGCGCAACCAUAGAAUUGCCGUCGAAACUGGGAGGCUUGAGAAUGUUAGAGGCAGGCGGAAUGCGUGGUGUAGCGGUGAAAUGCUUAGAUAUCAGGCAGAACCCCGAUUGCGAAGGCAGCCUGCCAAGCCAUGACUGACGCUGAUGCACGAAAGCGUGGGGAGCAAACAGGAUUAGAUACCCCAGUAGUC